AUUGAACGCUGGCGGCAUGCCUUACACAUGCAAGUCGAACGGUAACAGGUCUUCGGAUGCUGACGAGUGGCGAACGGGUGAGUAAUACAUCGGAACGUGCCUAGUAGUGGGGGAUAACUACUCGAAGGAGUGGCUAAUACCGCAUGAGAGCUACGGAUGAAAGCAGGGGAUCGCAAGACCUUGUGCUAUCAGAGCGGCCGAUGGCAGAUUAGGUAGUUGGUGGGAUAAAAGCUUACCAAGCCGACGAUCUGUAGCUGGUCUGAGAGGACGAUCAGCCACACUGGGACUGAGACACGGCCCAGACUCCUACGGGAGGCAGCAGUGGGGAAUUUUGGACAAUGGGCGAAAGCCUGAUCCAGCAAUGCCGCGUGCAGGAUGAAGGCCUUCGGGUUGUAAACUGCUUUUGUACGGAACGAAAAGCCCCGGGUUAUUACCCUGGGGUCAUGACGGUACCGUAAGAAUAAGCACCGGCUAACUACGUGCCAGCCGCCGCCGUAA
This 498-nucleotide ribosomal RNA is filed under the name uncultured bacterium. RNAcentral's name for it is "partial 16S ribosomal RNA". It matches the Rfam family "Bacterial small subunit ribosomal RNA", at positions 30 to 523 of the family's 1533-position model. The record is from RNAcentral.